UACGUAGGAGGCGAGCGUUGUCCGGAAUUACUGGGCGUAAAGAGCGCGUAGGCGGCGCGAUACGCCCGAUGUGAAAGCCCCCGGCUCAACUGGGGAGGGUCACCGGUAACGGCCGAGCUAUGAGUGCAGGAGAGGGAAGUGGAACUCCGGGAGUAGCGGUGAAAUGCGUAGAGACCCGGAGGAACACCAGUGGCGAAGGCGGCUUCCUGGUCUGCAACUGACGCUGUGGCGCGAAAGCUAGGGGAGCAAACGGG
Molecule: ribosomal RNA, 254 nt
Filed under: uncultured bacterium
Lineage: Bacteria
Description: partial 16S ribosomal RNA
Rfam family: Bacterial small subunit ribosomal RNA
Source: RNAcentral